GUGAGGAAUAUUGGACAAUGGAUGGAAAUCUGAUCCAGCCAUGCCGCGUGCAGGAAGACGGCCCUAUGGGUUGUAAACUGCUUUUGUAUGGGAGCAAUAAGGGCUACGAGUAGCCUGAUGAGAGUACCAUACGAAUAAGGACCGGCUAACUCCGUGCCAGCAGCCGCGGUAAUACGGAGGGUCCGAGCGUUAUCCGGAUUUAUUGGGUUUAAAGGGUGCGUAGGCGGUUUUAUAAGUCAGCGGUGAAAUUUUCCGGCUCAACCGGGAUUCUGCCGUUGAUACUGUAAGGCUAGGAUAUGGUUGCUGUGAGUGGAAUGUGUGGUGUAGCGGUGAAAUGCUUAGAGAUCACACAGAAUAUCGAUUGCGAAGGCAGCUCACAAAGCCAUUAUUGACGCUGAGGCACGAAAGUGUGGGGAUCAAACAGGAUUAGAUACCCUUGUAGUCC
This 445-nucleotide ribosomal RNA is filed under the name uncultured bacterium. RNAcentral describes it as "partial 16S ribosomal RNA". It matches the Rfam family "Bacterial small subunit ribosomal RNA", at positions 354 to 796 of the family's 1533-position model. The record is from RNAcentral.